UACGGGGGGAGCAAGCGUUGUUCGGAUUUACUGGGCGUAAAGGGCGCGUAGGCGGUCAGCACAAGUCAGUUGUGAAAUCUCCGGGCUUAACUCGGAAAGGUCAACUGAUACUGUGCGACUAGAGUGCAGAAGGGGCAACUGGAAUUCUCGGUGUAGCGGUGAAAUGCGUAGAUAUCGAGAGGAACACCUGCGGCGAAGGCGGGUCUCUGGGCCAUAACUGACGCUGAGAAGCGAAAGCAUGGGGAGCGAACAGG
This 254-nucleotide ribosomal RNA is filed under the name uncultured bacterium. RNAcentral describes it as "partial 16S ribosomal RNA". It matches the Rfam family "Bacterial small subunit ribosomal RNA", at positions 524 to 776 of the family's 1533-position model. The record is from RNAcentral.